This 233-nucleotide ribosomal RNA is filed under the name uncultured bacterium. RNAcentral describes it as "partial 16S ribosomal RNA". It matches the Rfam family "Bacterial small subunit ribosomal RNA", at positions 100 to 334 of the family's 1533-position model. The record is from RNAcentral.
CGGGACGGGUGAGUGGUGUCUGGGAAACUGCCUGAUGGAGGGGGAUAACUACUGGAAACGGUAGCUAAUACCGCAUAAUGUCGCAAGACCAAAGAGGGGGACCUUCGGGCCUCUUGCCAUCGGAUGUGCCCAGAUGGGAUUAGCUUGUUGGUGGGGUAACGGCUCACCAAGGCGACGAUCCCUAGCUGGUCUGAGAGGAUGACCAGCCACACUGGAACUGAGACACGGUCCAG